This is a non-coding RNA of Pelobates cultripes (western spadefoot toad), 2858 nucleotides long. The record is from the annotation of a GenBank genome assembly. NCBI's taxonomy places the organism in Eukaryota, Metazoa, Chordata, Amphibia, Anura, Pelobatidae.
GUGUAGGUGGGUUGUGGCCGUAAACAUUACAUGACUCAGGUAAGGACUGACCAACCCCUUAUGUGGCCUUUUCUAGUCACAAGCUCCAGAAAUCGCUAUAUUGAAAUGACAUGUAUGUGAUCAUCAUUAUUUGGCCCUGAAAUAAGAAGAGUUGAUUUCCAUGAUUUUUAAUAUUUGACAAACAUGUAUUUGUGAGGUGUGAACAAACAAAUCAGAUGUAGAAAUUCACAGCCGUUUAUUCAGCACACGGAGACACCUUCUUAGUCCUCUGUCAAUCAUUAUCAGGUCUGUAUUUUACACCCUUGCAGUCAGCAUAGAGAAAGCUUACAGAGAAGAAGAGAAAUGAAACAAUGUUUCUAUUUCUACUCCUCAUUUGUAAUUUAUGCCCUGGCUGUGCCUUGACGGAGCUGGAUUGUGAUGCAAUUUGCUCACAGGGUUUAUUUACUAAAAUGAGAAUGCAAAGUGAAUUCAAAGUGAAUUUAAGGUCAAAAUAGCUGAACUGGAAAAAUAACUCAGCAAUUCAUGCAUUUAAGAUACUUUGCCUUAAAUUCAAAAAUCACUUUGAAUUCAUUUUGGAAUUUCUCUUUAGUGAAUAACCCUGUAAAUUUUAAUAUAAAUGUAAAAGAAAAAUUCAACACAUACAUGUGAUUUUCAAUGUUUUAUUCUAAGGUGCAAGACAGUUCCCCUUUUAAACAUAAUACAGAUUAAGUUACAGCUCACACAUAAAAAAUAUUUUUUAAAUUUUAUAAGGCUACUUAAAAUCACCUAUCUCAGCAAACAAAUAUUUUUUUUAAUUGUAUUUAUCACAUUAAUUUUAAAUUUAUAUAAGUUCACAAUGUUCUUACAACAGCUUAUUUAAAUGCACUUUUGCUUAUUUAGCGCUAGCACUAUUUAAUAUAUCUCCCACGUUGGAAUUAGUGUAGGACCCACCGAUACUGGGUUUCUGUGACGUAGUGGUGAGCAUAAUACAAUAUGGCCAUUUGGUGGAACUUAAUCCCCAUGUUUGUUUGCUGAGAUAGGUGAUUUUAAGUAGCCGCAUAACAUUUAAAAAUGUAUUUUUAUGUGUGCUCUGCAACUUAUUAUGUAGGAAUGUUGGUCACUACGGCAGCACCAUUCCUACAAAGUGCAUGUUUCUGGUGUGCCCCCAAUUUCUUUUUACGAUGUAAGUUCCCCUUUAAACGUCUGACAUAUUACGGUGUAAAUCAUCAGAAAAGAUCCAGAUGUCUACAACAGAAAUCCACAUGCAAAAAAAUGAGGUGUUCAAUCUUACCAUCCAGAAAAAAAAAAUAGAUAGGAUUGGGAUAUUUUUAUUAACAUACUUACAUAUUCCCAAUUAAAAUUCUCCCAACCAGUAUAUAUCUUUGAUGUGAGCGUAAUCUUCAAUUGCAUAUUAAAAAUUUUAACGUCAGCAGCGUUGGUAAAAAGCUGACAGCUGGAAUAUGAUAAGAGGCAUUUCAUUAACUUUGAAUUUGCUUACCUUAAAAUGUAAUGCGUAUAUGUUAUGUUUGAUUUCUUUUUAAAAAAUAGAAAGAAUGAAGCAUCUGUGUAGAAAAACCGUUACCAUUUCAUCCAAGCAUUAAAAAUCAAAGACUGUGCCAUAGAGAGCAUUUUUUUAAAAUCUAGACAUAUCAAAUUGCUUUGAAGUGGGCUAGUUCUAAUAAAUUCACACAUUUGUAUUUCGGUUUUAAGAAGAGUUAUGUCACCGUAAAGUUCUUGAUUAUGAACAUUUUUUUUUUUUUUAAAGAGCUGUAAUGUAAAUUUUAAAGUGUACCUGAAAUGCAGUUAUGACACCGGGGCACGUGGAGGCAAUAUCAUUUGAUUUUCUACAUCAAAUAUUUUUAAAAGUGCACAACCAAAAUGGCUGCUUCACCUUUUCAUUGCUCCAUAACCUCGUCAUAGAAGGAAAAAAAAACAUAAGGUGUGAUUUAUCAAAGCAUAGUAAAUGCUAUUUUGGAGCAAGGAGGCAAUCACAUGGAAAUCAAUAGAUAUCUCUCAACUUUCAAGACUUUGUACCCAAAAUAGCACCUGUUUAGUGCAGCUCGUACUCGAUAUGAUACACCAAAUACCACAGGAUGUUCAUAUUCCCUCUAUGUGGCACAAAUGGUUUGUCAAAAUUUAAAAUUCAUCUGAUUGAUCACAUGGCCUUCUACAAGAGAGACUACAGGAUUCCAAAAAAAAAAAAAAAAGAUAUUGUGAUAAUGUUUUGAGACUAUACCAUUUCACAUUUCCAUCCUAAAAUAUCUAAAAAAAAAAUAAACACAGAAGAUGUUCCUGGAGGUAGAAAGAAAAAGGGACAACUGAGAAAAUGUCAUAUGCCUCAUUCUAAAGCACCCAUGAGUUUACCCAGAUCAGGAAUCAGAAAUGUAAACAUUGUUUCAACUAUCCACCAAAGUGUGCAAGGCAAAAAAAAAAAUGUUUUCUUUUAAUUAUUUCAUUUUCAAAAUUCUGAAAUGAUUGAUUUGAAAUUAUGCAAAAUGUGAAUGCCAUUAUCCAAAGGAUAUGAAUUUAGGGUGCUGUUUAGAAUAUCGUUCUCUGUUUGGUACCCUUAAAAUGGUAAUCCCAUAUAAGGAUACUGUUAGAAAAGUUGGAAACCAUCCCAUGAAGUAGCGUUCGUUCACUCUAAAACCUCAGCCUUGUCAUGAACUUAUUUUUCUGCCCAUACAGGAAUACCACCAUUUCAAGCAUGCUUGUGGAACAAAAUGUCGUUCAGAGCUUACUUUGACCGUUUAAUGGUGGAACAAAAGUUUUAUACAGAGAAAGUAUGUCUUGCUGGUUCCCAGGCACACCAAUACAAACAAUAAUGCUUAUCAAGACAUGAAUACAUUCAUUAUGCCUUGUAAAAGAGACCUGUCUUGGUG